Molecule: ribosomal RNA, 253 nt
Filed under: uncultured bacterium
Lineage: Bacteria
Description: partial 16S ribosomal RNA
Rfam family: Bacterial small subunit ribosomal RNA
Source: RNAcentral
UACAGAGGGUGCGAGCGUUGUCCGGAAUCACUGGGCGUAAAGGGCGCGUAGGCGGCCUGAUAAGUAGGGGGUGAAAUCUUGCGGCUCAACCGCAAGGCUGCCUUCUAAACUGUCAGGCUGGAGCACGGUAGAGGCAGAUGGAAUUCCCGGUGUAGUGGUGGAAUGCGUAGAUAUCGGGAGGAACACCAGUGGCGAAGGCGACUUCCUGGACCUGUUCUGACGCUGAGGAGCGAAAGCGUGGGGAGCGAUCCGG